This 258-nucleotide ribosomal RNA is filed under the name uncultured Glomus. RNAcentral's name for it is "partial 18S ribosomal RNA". It matches the Rfam family "Eukaryotic small subunit ribosomal RNA", at positions 624 to 886 of the family's 1831-position model. Lineage: Eukaryota; Fungi; Glomeromycota; Glomeromycetes; Glomerales; Glomeraceae. The record is from RNAcentral.
AAGCUCGUAGUUGAAUUUCGGGAUCAAUCUGUUGGUCGUGCCUUUGGUACGUACUAGCUUAUUGAUUUCUCCCUUCUGACGAACCAUGAUGUCAUUAAUUUGGUGUCAUGGGAAAUCAGGACUGUUACUUUGAAAAAAUUAGAGUGUUUAAAGCAGGCUCACGCUUGAAUACAUUAGCAUGGAAUAAUGAAAUAGGACGUUUUGAUUCUAUUUUGUUGGUUUCUAGGAUCGACGUAAUGAUUAAUAGGGAUAGUUGGG